This is a long non-coding RNA of Pan troglodytes (chimpanzee), 2526 nucleotides long. RefSeq lists it as uncharacterized. Lineage: Eukaryota; Metazoa; Chordata; Mammalia; Primates; Hominidae. The record is from RefSeq and is a predicted model, not a curated record. The transcript has 3 exons.
UUUUUUUUUUUUUUUGAAACAGUCUCGCUCUGUCGUCCAGGCUGGAGUGCAGCGGCGUGAUCUCCACUCACUGCAACCGCCGCCUCCCAGGUUCAACCAAUUCUCCUGUCUCAGCCUCUCAGCCACAAGUUCAUGCCUCCUGAAAUAAAGAAAAUGAACAAAUGAACCUGUGAAGAUAUAGAAGCAAGGAGGAGUGGAGGAGGUGGAAAUAGUCUAUGAACUUGAAAAGGUUCCUGGCAAGGCCCAGAGCCCUUCAUUUAGAGAAGCAGGCACAACUGAAGAGAGGAAGAUAGUCCUGGCUGCCCAUGGACCCUCUGACCUCGAACCCUCAUAGCAGCUCCAGGGCAGUUAUUCCAAGGGUCAGGGAUUCCAAGAAGUUUUGCAGAGCGGGAGGAAGACAGAGCAUGAGGACAUCCUGGAAACUGCUUGCCCUUUGUGAUCUAGAGGAGAAAGAGAGACUGAAGCACGGAAUAACUUGUUUUAUCAUGGGCUCUGGGGUCAGGCUCUCUGGAAUUUAAUACUAACAUUUAUGUAUUACAAGACUUUGGACAGGGUUCUUAACUUCUCUGUUCCUCAAUUUUCUAAUCUGUAAAAUGAUGUAAAAAUCUGCAAUAUCAACAACAAAGUCCACAUUUGUUUGUUCUUAAAGGUGUGUGUGUGUGUGUGUGUGUGUGUGUGUGUGUGUAUGAUGAUGAUUACAAGGCUUGGAACUUAUAAGCACUCAACAAACAAGUUGUUAGUGUUGUUAUUAUUAUUACCACUGCUCAAAUGUGUACUUGUAAUCCUACUGCCACUCUCAUCACACCUCAUAGUCUGCUUGGACCUGGACAGAUAAUUUAUCAGCUUUUAAAUUCAACUGAUAAACUAGAUUGAGGCUCUGUUGUGCAUAAGGUAGAGAGCUAAAUGCUGUGGAAAAAUUGAACAUGAAGAAAACAUUGCCUGACAACUAUUUAUGACCCAGCAGGGUUUGGAAGACAUACAAAAACGCAAACCAAACCAAAGCAAAGGCACUAUCUGAUAAAUAUUGUAGGAGAGAUAUAAACAAAGGGUUAUGGGCCCUCUGGAAGACAGAGCACUUUCAGCUGGAGGUUCAUUUAUAAGGGGAGAGGCCCAAAUCAGGGGGGUGAAAGGAGAUCAAUGGGAAGAAGGGUGAGUGGAAAAAGACAUUUCAGAGACGGUCACGAAUCCGUUAUACAGGAGAAGAGAGACAACGCUAAGAAUAACUUGCUGUAUUUACAGCCAGGAAAUCUAGGAGAGGGUUAACAGAAAAUAAUAACAAUAAUUAUAACAAAGCAAGAAAAGCUUUUUGGGGAAGAAAAAUGAUGCUCACUCAUCUUAGUGAACACUACUAGACCAACCACUUAUGAGCACACUCUUAAUUGAAUUUCUGCCUUGGCCAAAUUCUCCAGCAUAAGACAUAUAAGUAUAGGAUCAUGCAUCAUAUCCAUCUCAGCUUCAAUGUUCACUGGUCAUUUUGGCACUGUUUUUUCCCCCAUUCUAAUAAUAUCGCCUAUAGAAACAGUCAUCAGUGAUUUUCUUCACUGUGAGAGCCAACCACGCUCUAUGAAUAAAAGAGCAAAUUCCCCCAUGUUUCUCCCUAGCCCAACUGAAAGUCGUCAAUAACCCCAGCAAACCCAAAGUAACAAGUGAGACGUUUUAAAGCCAGUCAAAUAAUGCUUGCCAUAGAUCACACCUGCUACUUAGUAACAGAUGUUUGUGUGGCUGUGAUCUACUGGGGAAAAAUUCACACUCAGUAGCCCUUGUACUUCCACUUCCAACUGUGUUGUAGCUAUUGUUAGUAUUUUGGCCCAGAAUAGAAGAUAUAUUGUAGAAAUAUCAGCUGGCUCCCAUGUAAGACACUCAAGUUAAUUUUUCUCUGAAGACUCUGCUCCUUUGUUCAUCUGGACUAAUUAUUUUGUGUUUAUCAAAACAAAAGGGCAUAUUGCAGAAAAGAGAAAAGGAAUUACAUUAAUCUUCUGCACAAGGCUUUUGGGCCAUGGUGAAGGAAAAUUAGGGGCCUUGGCAGUACUCAGACCCUGUGUUCUAGCAUCAAAGGAUGUUAGCACUGGGGGUGAGUGUAGUUUAGGGAAAUGCCCCUGAGAGCAAUGUAAGUGCACCCUUAGAAUGACCCUACACUGCAGAUGCAGCUGAAUGUGUGUUUCAGGCUACGGAAUCCAGGAGUAGCCAACCAGAGAGUCAUUCCCUGUCUGUGAGGAAUAUCUGAGACCUCCACCCAUCCCAUGGAACACAGGCCAAACAAGGGAUUAAGGCUAUGAGUUUUAGGGUACGUGGAGGUUUCCAGGUAGAGGUUGUUAAGAGGAAGGUGUUAAGUGAAUUCUAUGUAAACUGCAUGCUAUUUGCUAGCAGCUGCGGUUUUUCUGCCCAGCCUGGGCCAUGCAGUGAUGUUGUCCAGCCCACCACAACUGGACCAUUUCUAUACAUUAGAUAAUUCUGUCCAGCCUGCCUCCAAUGGACUGUCUCCCUUGUAUGUAAGCCCCAAAUAAAACCCCAUGUCACCUUUGCUGG